Lycium ferocissimum is the source of this 437-nucleotide long non-coding RNA. RefSeq lists it as uncharacterized. The record is from RefSeq and is a predicted model, not a curated record. Lineage: Eukaryota; Viridiplantae; Streptophyta; Magnoliopsida; Solanales; Solanaceae. The transcript has 3 exons.
GUUUUUUGGGGUUUCUCUCAUCUUGAAAGCUUGGGUUUAGGAGAAUUCAAGGAUGUUCUUCAAGUUUCUUCCAUGGGACUUUCUUGAUCUCGAGGCUCAAAGGAAAGGAAAGGCUAUAGUGUGAUUGUUGGUGAUUUUGUUGUUCGGCCUUCCAGAGUUCCAGGUAGGGUCGACCUCUAAUUUUCGUGGCCGAUUGCGGUGCGAGAGUUGCUGCUGAGAGUCUACAGGGUGAGCACGAGGACAUCCGCCGCCUUGGAGAUUCUUUCCUUAUUUUAUGUCUUCUUUGAUAUUCCAAGACAUAUUCAGACUUUUGAUGUAUUAUUGAGAUUUUCAGACUCGUAGAUGUUAGCUAGUUGCUCUUGUAUGAUUAGACAGAUUUCUGGGGUGGUUUGAUGUACUUCUGCAUAUUCUAUCUAUUAUUAUGUCAGACUUACGUA